RNAcentral lists this ribosomal RNA (331 nucleotides) under uncultured bacterium. Its description in RNAcentral is "bacterial SSU rRNA". It matches the Rfam family "Bacterial small subunit ribosomal RNA", at positions 568 to 898 of the family's 1533-position model. The record is from RNAcentral.
CGCGUAGGCGGUCUGCUAAGUCGGGGGUGAAAUCUUUCGGCUCAACCGGAAAAGGGCUUUCGAUACUGGCAGACUUGAGGGAGGUAGGGGCACGUGGAACUGGUGGUGGAGCGGUGAAAUGCGUUGAUAUCACUAGGAACGCCGGUGGCGAAAGCGACGUGCUGGCCCUCUUCUGACGCUGAGGCGCGAAAGCUAGGGGAGCGAACGGGAUUAGAUACCCCGGUAGUCCUAGCCCUAAACGAUGGGUACUAGGUAGUGGACUAGACAUGGGUUCACUGCCGAAGCAAAAGUGUUAAGUACCCCGCCUGGGGAGUAUGGUCGCAAGGCUGAA